Molecule: long non-coding RNA, 323 nt
Organism: Sebastes umbrosus (honeycomb rockfish)
Lineage: Eukaryota; Metazoa; Chordata; Actinopteri; Perciformes; Sebastidae
Exons: 2
Source: RefSeq, a predicted model, not a curated record
UUCUUCUGUAUGUAAAUGAGUUUAAUGUGUUCUGCUGUUACUAUGGAUACUGUCAUUUAAAAAAAAAAAAAAGUCUGUCAGCUGUUACGUCACAGCUCAUUGGCUAGCUAACGUCAGUUAACGCUUGUUGGGUGUUUAUCUGUAUCAACUGUCGGCCUCAAACACGCUCGUCAAGUCGGACGUUUUUCGGUCUGUUAAUUGUUUUUCCAAAGACGGAUUUAUUCUUCACAGAGUGGACACAGGAAUCACUAACUACCUACAUCGCUUCACCAAAUAGGCGCCUCCCCUUCCAUUGGACCACCAUGGGACUCUUCCCGGCUGAU